Molecule: long non-coding RNA, 522 nt
Filed under: Lepisosteus oculatus (spotted gar)
Lineage: Eukaryota; Metazoa; Chordata; Actinopteri; Semionotiformes; Lepisosteidae
Description: lncRNA (ENSLOCG00000021185.1)
Source: RNAcentral
GGAGGGGCUUUUUUCCUCUUGCCUUUGAGACAAGGGGGCGGACGAGCACAAUUCCACUAAGAGCCCCACUGGCCGCCCUCAGACACAGUUGCUAUCUGGAUUAUUAGUUCCUUCCAGAAAAGGGGAUUUUUCUUUUCUGGUACAGAGCUGUUUUUGUUGACCGGACUGGGCUCUUCACGCCUGAAUGAUAAAAGCAGAGUGACAGUGGCAGACAGACACUCUUGUACCGCUGAGCCCUGAUUGGAUGAGCCAGCCAGUGCUGAAAUAGUGCCUGCUCACUGAACGUCCCAAACUGCUGCCCUUGCGCUUAGGAUCAAGCCGGAGAGGGGAAACAGAGGAAGACGGGCCUUCAGGAAAGAAAACGGACUGUUUAUUCCAGGAAACCACAGGGCCCCCGGCGUGUGGAAAAGGAAAGAUUUCACCUCACCAGAGGGGUGAAGAUGAUGACUAAGAAAGUGAGAUUUAAGGUAUGUCCUCCAAGGCACAGCUGUGCUGUAGUUUCCACCACUAGAUCAAUUGUUU